GAGGGCCUAGCUCAGUGGUAGAGCACAUGCUUACCACGCAGGAAGUUCUGGGUUCAAUCCCCAGUAUCUCCA
RNAcentral lists this transfer RNA (72 nucleotides) under Camelus bactrianus (Bactrian camel). It matches the Rfam family "tRNA". From Rfam's summary of the family: Transfer RNA (tRNA) molecules are approximately 80 nucleotides in length. Their secondary structure includes four short double-helical elements and three loops (D, anti-codon, and T loops). Lineage: Eukaryota; Metazoa; Chordata; Mammalia; Artiodactyla; Camelidae. RNAcentral also lists the same sequence under 2 other names. The record is from Rfam by way of RNAcentral.